UACGUAGGGUGCGAGCGUUGUCCGGAAUUAUUGGGCGUAAAGAGCUUGUAGGCGGUCUGUCGCGUCUGCUGUGAAAAUCCGGGGCUCAACCCCGGACUUGCAGUGGGUACGGGCAGACUAGAGUGUGGUAGGGGAGACUGGAAUUCCUGGUGUAGCGGUGAAAUGCGCAGAUAUCAGGAGGAACACCAAUAGCGAAGGCAGCUCGCUGGGACGGUAUUGACGCUAAGGCGCGAAAGCGUGGGGAGCAAACAGG
RNAcentral lists this ribosomal RNA (253 nucleotides) under uncultured bacterium. Its description in RNAcentral is "partial 16S ribosomal RNA". It matches the Rfam family "Bacterial small subunit ribosomal RNA", at positions 524 to 776 of the family's 1533-position model. The record is from RNAcentral.